UAUUGGGCAAUGCCCGCAAGGGUGACCCAGCAACGCCGCGUGGAGGAUGAAUGCCGUAAGGUUGUAAACUCCUGUUAGAGGGGAAGAACAAUCCCGAUAAAAUCGGGAUCUGACUGUACCCUCAGAGAAAGCCCCGGCUAACUACGUUCCAGCAGCCGCGGUAAUACGUAGGGGGCAAGCGUUGUCCGGAUUUACUGGGUGUAAAGGGCGCGCAGGUGGAUUUUCAAGUCAGAGGUGAAAUCUCACGGCUUAACCGUGAAAUUGCCUUUGAUACUGUUAAUCUUGAGUUCGGAAGAGAGAGAUGGAAUUCCAGGUGUAGUGGUGAAAUACGUAGAUAUCUGGAAGAACACCAGUUGCGAAGGCGAUCUCUUGGUCCGAUACUGACACUCAGGCGCGAAAGCGUGGGUAGCAAACAGG
Molecule: ribosomal RNA, 417 nt
Filed under: uncultured bacterium
Lineage: Bacteria
Description: bacterial SSU rRNA
Rfam family: Bacterial small subunit ribosomal RNA
Source: RNAcentral